This 557-nucleotide ribosomal RNA is filed under the name uncultured bacterium. RNAcentral describes it as "bacterial SSU rRNA". It matches the Rfam family "Bacterial small subunit ribosomal RNA", at positions 102 to 694 of the family's 1533-position model. The record is from RNAcentral.
ACGGGUGAGUAACGCGUGGGAAUCUACCCAUCUCUACGGAAUAACGCAUGGAAACGUGUGCUAAUACCGUAUACGUCCUUCGGGAGAAAGAUUUAUCGGAGAUGGAUGAGCCCGCGUUGGAUUAGCUAGUUGGUGGGGUAAAGGCCUACCAAGGCGACGAUCCAUAGCUGGUCUGAGAGGAUGAUCAGCCACACUGGGACUGAGACACGGCCCAGACUCCUACGGGAGGCAGCAGUGGGGAAUAUUGGACAAUGGGCGCAAGCCUGAUCCAGCCAUGCCGCGUGAGUGAUGAAGGCCCUAGGGUUGUAAAGCUCUUUCACCGGUGAAGAUAAUGACGGUAACCGGAGAAGAAGCCCCGGCUAACUUCGUGCCAGCAGCCGCGGUAAUACGAAGGGGGCUAGCGUUGUUCGGAUUUACUGGGCGUAAAUCGCACGUAGGCGGACUAUUAAGUCAGGGGUGAAAUCCCGGGGCUCAACCCCGGAACUGCCUUUGAUACUGGUAGUCUUGAGUUCGAGAGAGGUGAAUGGAAUUCCGAGUGUAGAGGUGAAAUUCGUAGA